Molecule: transfer RNA, 77 nt
Filed under: Gulo gulo (wolverine)
Lineage: Eukaryota; Metazoa; Chordata; Mammalia; Carnivora; Mustelidae
Also listed under: 1 other name
Description: transfer RNA-Thr
Source: RNAcentral
GUCUUUGUAGUAUAUUAAUUACUUUGGUCUUGUAAACCAAAAAUGGAGAACACCAUCUCCCUAAGACUCAAGGAAGA